UAUGUCCAUUUUGCACCGUGUCCGUUUGGUCUGUGUCCGUUUCACUCAGCCUGCUGUGUCCGUUACUUAUUAUUGUGCGCAUCUGGGACGCUCCUUCUGGGCCACACAAACUAGAGUAUUAUCGCAACGCACAUUCUAGUGACAUAAAAGUAAAAUUAGUUAAUACUCUAAUAUUUCCGCAUUUGGAUUAUUGUUCACUGGUAUAUCCUGACCUCACAAAUGAAUUAAAUAUCAAAUUUUUAAGACUCAUUAAUAGUUGUAUUAGGUUUAUUUUCGACUUGCGUCACGAUGAACAUAUUACUUCAUAUCGUCUUAAACUGAAUUCGCUAUCUGUGCGUAAUCGUAGGUUUUACUUUCUUUGUACGACAACACGUGGUCGCUUUCCUGCCUUCCGAUUCUCCCGAUGGGCGGGGUAGUUUGUUAAGGAUUAUAUUAUGGGAAUAUCGAAUUGACUCAAAUAAAAAGAAAACACAGCGGUUAGGGCGAACCCAAGGAGGAAAACGCUUGCAAUUACAGAUGCGGCAAAAACCCUCUUUCAACGUUUAUUGGAAACGAUUCACUACACUGAAUGAAGAACAAAGAGAAAGUACAAAAGAAUGAACGAGUGAGGUGCGGGCGUCGUGUUCGUGUAUGUAUAUGCGUAAAUCGGAUUGAGAAAAUCGCGACGCAAGUAGGAGACACGGCUCCCGUGGAAGUCAAGUUGAGCAGAUCGCGAUGCAAAUAGGAGGCUCGUCUCCUGCGGACUGAGCUGCAGACUUGGUCGCACGUGACGAAGUUCGAGGGCGACUUGAAUUUCGUGUAAUACGCGGAAGCGUGGUUGCGUGAUUUGAGUUCGUGUAGGCACGUGUUCCAAAGGCCGGGAAUAUUUGUAUCACUCGAAUCACUCGAAGCACUACUGCUAGAUCGGCUAUCCGGAAGAAGACUGAGGCCUUAUAGCCGGCCGAUCUACGAGCCCCCCGCUCCCCGUGCUGUACCGCCGGCGCGCGGCGGCGCACGGGAAAAAUCGGGCGCGCGACGAAAACCGUACUUGUUCACGAAUAAUGCUGAUCGACGCCGGGCAAAUUCCGGACAAGUCUGAGCACCGCCAAUGAAAUGAGUUCGGCUGUGUUCCGACGGAACAUUCUUGCCAUACGAACCUAUAAGUUUUGAAUCCAGACAGUCCCAUCUAUCUCUCCGAAUUAUUCGUCAAAUUUGAUGAGUCUAUAAGAUGCUCUCCAAGAUUCACCAAUCCCAUGCUUAUCUGCUAUGUAUUUCUGGCACUCAUUACCUAUAUCAGUAACUCAAACAUCUUCUCUUUUUAUUUUUAAGGAAGGAAUUUCAUGUAAAUUGAAAUUUUUUAGCAAUUUUUUUUCUUGUUUUUUAUAGGAAAUUUUCCGUAGAAUAUGAAAAAAAAAAAAAAUAGAAACCGAUUUGAGACUUUCUUCUAUGUUAUUUUCGUCGAAAAGUGAAUGGUCGAAUUGGGCGGAGCACUCAGGUAGACGAGCGCUCGUCGGGAAAUCAGCCUUUCGAUCUCUCUGUAAUAAAUGUUAACCAGGCUGUGUUAGAGUAAUGUCGAACAGAAAGAUCUGCUCUAUAGUCCUGGAAUCGCAGAUUAGCAAAAAACUGCGAUCAUUUUUGUGAUCUGUACGAUGCACAGCGCAUUUUCCAGACACCAUUUUCAAGUCGGCAUUGCACCGUUAUUAUAAAAAAUUAAAGUUUGAAAAAAAUAUAUUUUUUACAUUGUAAUGUCCAUAAAUUGUACCUCAAAUUUCCAAUUAAUCUACGCGUUACAUUUUUGAAAAAAAAUUCUUGAAAAACAAACCGUUUACAUGAGGUUCCCCCCUUAAGGAGAAAUUGUUCUCUCAUCUUUUUGAGAUUGAGCGUGGCGAGAGUGUCAGUGUGACAGGCUGCGUUCCGAUAUUCACUGCCAGUACUGAAAAUCUAUAGUUCACGUCAUAUACUGUAGAAUUUUAGUACUGGCAGUGAAUAUCGGAACGCAGCCUUAGUAGUGUGCACAUCUCUUACUCUUCAUUUGCUAUUUUUAAUAUCUGCACUCUGACCAUUGAUACUAUUCCUUUCUAGUUAUUAUGGCUUUUGUAAUUCUUUCCUGCUUGAAAUUGCUCUUAUGUUUCUGAGUCGCACUGCAUAUUCAGCUAUACUUUCUGCCACUGCCUCAUUAUGCAUGUUAAGAGCAUUAGCUUUAGUAUUUUCUGCUGUAUCACUAUUGAUUUUUUAUAAACCUAGUAGAAACUAUAAUAACGGUAUUAAUCAACAGUACUUUAGUAUUUUAGUUUAAAUUUGAAAGGAAUUUCGCUUAUGUUAUAUCAUAGUGCUUUGAUUAUAUUAUAUCAUUUUCAGUAUUUAGUAUGUAGGCUUUAAUCACCGUAUAAAUUUUAGUCACUUAAGCCGAGUGACGCUUUCUGCUACUACUCUAUUGCACGCGUCAUAAUCAUAAAUCCUUAUAUUUUCUACUAGUAGUAUAUAGUAAGUCGUGGGGCGUCAAAAUAAACCUUCACUCCUCCCCUGUUUGACGCCAGGUGGGCGUGUCUAUACAGUGUGACGCCACAAGGAGAGGUGGAAUGGAGCGUUCUGAUUAGCUUACACGUGGACGUUGCUGAAUUUGAACGGAGCGAUUUGAUUGGCAUCCUAUGAGUGCCCAGAGCCUUGAUUGCCUACCCUGAGUAUACUAUUAGAUUUUGAAUAUAUAGGAAUUUUGGGGCUAGGAACCCUCUCGUGAAACUAGCGGAGGUGAAAAAGUGAUGGAAGUCAGAUUCUGGUGCCGAGUGUUUUUCACGGCGGGGGGAGGGGUGGCAAGUACGAAUUUUUGUAAACGGAAUAAUAGUUCUACAAAUCAAGGGUACUUUGUAAGGGAGAGAGAUUUUUAUUGCUAUUAUAUAGAGUUGCCUUAAGAUAAAAAAACAGAAACGUGUAUGUUUUGAUUCUGAUAUAAGAAAAAGUUAUGUAUUAUGGAAGGGAGCGAGAAAGAAAUAGACAAUAGUUAAAAUUACAAAUAAAACAAUAUUUAUUUGUAUAUCUUAUUUUCUAGAAAUACAAAAGUUAGUUUUGCUUUUGUCCGAUGUCGUUUCGAAAAGAUAAUUUUUUUUCUCUUCGUCUGAUGUUGUAUCUUCAACUUUUAUUCAGGCGUUUUGAGUGAUUUCUUCUUCCUCUUCUCUGUCUUCUUCUUCUUCUUUCGUAUGAUCAUUAGAAAAAGUGAUGUGGUUCGAGCUUUAAUUAUUUCGUUCGUUUAAUCAGCGUUUCAAUUUGUAAGCGUUGCAUAACGCGCAAAGAAAUUUUGCGCUAGUGCGAAAUCCGUGAUAACUGCAGCGAUGUCCAAGCUCGUCGACAUCAGGCAAAUUUUUAAAUAUCGAUGAAUCUACUUCCAGAUUAUAUAUGUUUCUUGAGAACAGAUUACGCAAAUAACUUGCUUUUUCUUUUCCCCUGGUAUAGAUGUGGCGGGCUCUACGCGUAAUUUCCCGUAGUCGUCCCGUCAAAUACUUAGGAUUGGCUUCACCGUCGAACCACUCGAUACCGUAAUUUUGCAAAAGCCAGUUGUUUUCUCGUCUGGAUCUCUCGCGUAAUUCAUCAAACGAACAAAGUGGCAGCGAAAUCCAGUGUCCGAAGAUCGGAGCGUUAACCACAACAACAGCAGUUUUUUUUGAAAUAAAUUUUUCUUGGCAUCCCGAAAGCCUUGAAUCUCGACUAUGUUCAUGGUAGUGAGUAAUUUCGUUUCACUCUUUUUUAAAACUCAAGCGAGGUGACUGUCUCCGUGUCUCGUACAAAACUGAUUUCUCUUCUCUGUACGGUUUUGAAAAUAUUGUCGAAAAGAAUUGCGAAAUAAUGGUGGUAGUGUUGGUGGUGGUGGUAAUGAUGACAACGAAGGAAGUGGUGGUGAGGUAUAAUUUACGGAAAGUUACCAAAUAUGUUAACCCUCGUAAAAAGUCUAGCCGGAAAAGUCGACGAUAAUUUGACGAGAAGAGUCGAUUUCUAGAAUGUUAUCAAAUUCUGCAUAAACAAUGCAGUUAAUGAUCGUGGAAAGCGGCUUUGCAAAUCGUACAUCUAAUCGUAGACUGCCAUGUUUCACGAAAUUCGUGAAUGGCCGGCACAAUUUGCGGAUAAAUCGGGGGUGAGAUUGAAAGCGAAAAGCGUGUAUUUGUCAUAAUCUUCCCUACUUACAGAAUUAACUUCGUUCAAAAAGUAAAUACCGAUUCUUGAAAAAAGCGUAUGCUUCAACGUAGAGCGGUUCGUCUUUCGAGAAGUUCGGCUGUAGAGGUCUACUGUACUGGGGACUUAUACACCGUCGACGUAAAGUGAAAAGAAAUUUAUAUUGUAGUUUUUGAAAUUAAACGGAUUUAAUUUUCUAUCCCUGUUAAACGCUUUAUUAUCUACAAAACUGACAAUUACACGUUUCGGGAGUUGCCCGAGGAUCAAGUUAUCUAUCGAUUCUGCUACAAGAUCCGAGUGUAACGUAAAUUUUCAUUUUUACUCUCGUGAGAGGAUAUUUGGCUAUGAUUUUAUUCAACAUUCUAGUGUGCGCGAGUAACACGCCAAGGCUUAUUUUUGUUUUUCUUAUAAGUAGACUAGUGUCUAAAAUACGAAUUUUUGACGUGGAACUAGAUUCCAUAAAACAGAAAGAAUCUUUUGCGGAUGAGUCUCAUUAUAAUUUUUACUUCGUUAAUUAAAAAUUUAUCCUGAUUAAAAACGUCACAGUGAAGAUGUCUUAUGAGUUAGAACAUGAAGGUAGGUGUUUUCACUACCUUCCAUCAAUUUGUCUUGUCGCGUUUCGAAAUCAUAAAACACAAACGCGACGCGGUCUUUGGUACGACUGUUCGGCGUUAUCUUUGUUACUUGCAACCUUUAGCCGUUUAUCCGUACUCGUACUCUCGCCAGGAUUUCCGACUACGGUUUUACGAUGAAGAGGUUGCAUGUAACAAAGAUGAUUUGUCAACUGCAACGAACGGCACACUUUACAAUACGCCGCAUCACAUUUAUGUUUCGACCCUGAUCUUACAAAUUGUUCGCAUUCGUCACAAAUUUUAACAAAAUCGCAGACGGAAGCGCACGAUUUGUCGACAUACAAACCGUUUUCGCGAUGCCGAUCGUAACACGCUUGCCCGAAAAAGCGUUUGCAUCUCCCGCAUCUAACGAGCGCCGCAUCGAGAUUUUCGCAAUGCGACGCUGCGUAACACCGUGGACAUUUUUUCGUGCAACGGUGCUUCCUAUUCGGACGAUAGCCUAUAUACACGCGACUCAAUACCCUUCGCGCGAACCGGCUGCAGCUUUUAAACUUAAUAUCGGGUUAUAGUGACGCGAACGCUCGUAAUACAUGAUGUUAAGGCGAUACGAGGGUUUGCGUCCCAUCGACUCGAGUAGCUCAGAACCGUCAUACAACGGUUUCUCGCCGCGGCCAAAAGUAUUAAAAAUAUAUUAUCACACUAUAAUAUAAUCACACAUAUAAUUACACUAGCAAUAUUUUUCGCAGCAAAAAUUUGUUGGAAGCGCUCAAUUUCGGGAAUUCCGUAGCCCUCCGUAGCCCUUCGGGAUUAUGACACCGGCGUUUCGCGUUAAUUCUAGCGCUAAUUCCCGCUCUAACGCCAAUGUCCGACAUCUAACGGAAUUCUAUGUUCUAUGCAAAUCUCCCACGCGCGCAUUUUCCCGCUGACAAUAAAUACGUGAUAAUAAUGCGCGAAGGAAACACAGAUUAUCACUAUUAUUACUUUGCAAAAUUGAACGCUUCGCGACGUCUUCUCGCGUUAAUUUGUUCGACGAGCGUCCAAGUCCUACAGGCAUCGCGACGUUAAAGAUGCUCACGUGAGACAGAAUCCUCUCGUAAAAUUCGUUAUUUUUUCUCGUGAAAGAGAAUUCUCACAAAAAUUAGUUAUUUCCAUAAUAUACCGUUUUAUAUUAAAUUAUGUAAAAUAUAAUUUUCUAUAUAUAGUAUAAUAUAAUAUUUUCUAUAAUUUUUGUUUUGGAAGUAAUUUGGUUAGGCAAAAGAUAGAAUUGAGCGCCAUCCAAUUAUCAUGUAAUUUACCUUCUAAAUUGUUAUUUUUCCCACUACUUAAAUUUUUAUCCAAUCACGCUUUUAAUUGCUAAUUAUUUUUCUUAAAUUUUAUAUUUAGAUUUUUAAAAAUUUCAGGAGAGUCAAUGAAGAAUCACCUUCUCAUUUUAUUAGUUUAAAUUUAACAGUAAACAAUUAGAUUCGAGAAGAAAGAAUUUUAGUUCGAUCAUGUCUCGUCUUCAACGGUCGCUUUGUAUUCGGAAUUCAAAUUUUUACUCGUUACUUUUUUACAUAAAUUUUUAACUCGAAUGUUUUUGUCAAAUAAUACUUAAUUUUUAUAAAUUUUACUUUCAAUUUUUACGGUUAGAGUUUCUGUGAAACUAACGUAGUACGUAAUUGUUUAAAACUAGAAAGUUUUAAAUAAAACUUUAGUUUAUAAAAAUAAAGUUUUUCCACCGCUUUCUCAUCUGCGUGCGCAACUUUUAUUCGUUACAAACUGAAGUGACGAUAUUACCCGUAAUGUAAACGUGAAUUUAUUCGAAAUUCUUUCUUCCUAGCGUCAACCUCGCGAAGAAAAAGUUUCCUUCAGUCUUCUCAAUCUUUUCGAUUUGAGACCGCGAGAGUUACACGUCUUAUUUUGCUCGGUGUCUUUUUAUUCUGAGGCUUCAAACAACGAAGAAGAAGAAGAAAAAGAAGAAGAAGAAGAAAGAACAACGGUCAACUAAUAACAAAGUGCUAAUUACAACUCCUCGAACUAGUCAAUUUCCGAUAAUUCCACACAACUUCAUAUACUGCUCUCCACUUCGUAUCUUAAUACGAAGAGGAUACAAGUCGGAUUAUAAUUGACGAACGAGGGAGUCUUCGUUCCGAUAAUAAAAUUAAGCAGCAGCAACGCUGGCGGUAUUAAUCUCGAUCCCGACUCAUGGCUACAAUUUCAAGAUCAUAUGAGUCUCAUGAGCGAAUACUUGAGUGGCGUUGAUAAAUUAAAGCCGAAUUCCGUCAAUAUAAAAAACAUCAGCAUCUGCUUCACCUCGGCCUAUGGAUCAAGAUCCAUAUUAAUAACGUACAAGGAAACUGAAGAGGAACGUUCUUCGAAGUCGUAAAGGAUGCUACGCGAGCGAUGGCUAAAACCUUUUAGGCAUUGCUCAGGUCAUGACCUUAACAACAUAUGUCAAGGUCAAGGUCAUUGUGGCUGGAUUCUCUAUUCAGCAUUUUUACCAUGAUAGUCUGAAAAAGCUUAAUGAAACGUACUAAUUAUCGCUCGCAAAAUCUUAUAUCGGAGAUCACAUGCAUAAUAGUGAUUAUGAAUUCAAAAGAAAGCAGGCAUCCAGAUUAUGAUCGUGCAGAUAUGGUUAUUUAAAAUCAAUUAUUUAUUCAGGCCAGGAUAAAUUCAAAAACUGUACAAAGCUGUGUUCAUGUUCAUGCAUUGAUUUCGUAUUUGGGUAAUAGCAGAUAUGACGAAAUACUAAAAUUACCUGCUGACUUCUUAAAUCGGCCUCUUCCAUCAGGCUUUCCUGUUGCAGAAAGUGACAAUGAACUUUCUGAUGAGUAGAAUUACAAGAGACAAACAUAACAAAAUAAGUCACCUCAAUAAGCAGUUGAAAAAAA
Long non-coding RNA from Monomorium pharaonis (pharaoh ant), 7582 nucleotides. RefSeq lists it as uncharacterized. Lineage: Eukaryota; Metazoa; Arthropoda; Insecta; Hymenoptera; Formicidae. The transcript is spliced from 2 exons. The record is from RefSeq and is a predicted model, not a curated record.